This 446-nucleotide ribosomal RNA is filed under the name uncultured bacterium. RNAcentral describes it as "partial 16S ribosomal RNA". It matches the Rfam family "Bacterial small subunit ribosomal RNA", at positions 338 to 795 of the family's 1533-position model. The record is from RNAcentral.
CCUACGGGAGGCAGUAGUCGAGAAUCAUUCACAAUGGGGGAAACCCUGAUGGUGCGACGCCGCGUGGGGGAAUGAAGGUCUUCGGAUUGUAAACCCCUGUCAUGUGGGAGCAAAUGAAAAAGAUAGUACCACAAGAGGAAGAGACGGCUAACUCUGUGCCAGCAGCCGCGGGAAUACAGAGGUCUCAAGCGUUGUUCGGAAUCACUGGGCGUAAAGCGUGCGUAGGCUGUUUCGUAAGGCGUGUGUGAAAGGCGCGGGCUCAACCCGCGGACGGCACAUGAUACUGCGAGACUAGAGUAAUGGAGGGGGAACCGGAAUUCUCGGUGUAGCAGUGAAAUGCGUAGAUAUCGAGAGGAACACUCGUGGCGAAGGCGGGUUCCUGGACAUUAACUGACGCUGAGGCACGAAGGCCAGGGGAGCGAAAGGGAUUAGAUACCCUUGUAGUC